RNAcentral lists this ribosomal RNA (496 nucleotides) under uncultured bacterium. RNAcentral's name for it is "partial 16S ribosomal RNA". It matches the Rfam family "Bacterial small subunit ribosomal RNA", at positions 28 to 507 of the family's 1533-position model. The record is from RNAcentral.
GAUGAACGCUGGCGGCGUGCCUAAUACAUGCAAGUCGAGCGAACGGACGAGAAGCUUGCUUCUCUGAUGUUAGCGGCGGACGGGUGAGUAACACGUGGAUAACCUACCUAUAAGACUGGGAUAACUUCGGGAAACCGGAGCUAAUACCGGAUGAUAUUUUGAACCGCAUGGUUCAAAAGUGAAAGACGGUCUUGCUGUCACUUAUAGAUGGAUCCGCGCUGCAUUAGCUAGUUGGUAAGGUAACGGCUUACCAAGGCAACGAUGCAUAGCCGACCUGAGAGGGUGAUCGGCCACACUGGAACUGAGACACGGUCCAGACUCCUACGGGAGGCAGCAGUAGGGAAUCUUCCGCAAUGGGCGAAAGCCUGACGGAGCAACGCCGCGUGAGUGAUGAAGGUCUUCGGAUCGUAAAACUCUGUUAUAGGGAAGAACAUAUGUGUAAGUAACUGUGCACAUCUUGACGGUACCUAAUCAGAAAGCCACGGCUAACUACGUG